RNAcentral lists this ribosomal RNA (1001 nucleotides) under Diaphana globosa. RNAcentral's name for it is "SSU rRNA". It matches the Rfam family "Eukaryotic small subunit ribosomal RNA", at positions 25 to 992 of the family's 1831-position model. Lineage: Eukaryota; Metazoa; Mollusca; Gastropoda; Cephalaspidea; Diaphanidae. The record is from RNAcentral.
CAUAUGCUUGUCUCAAAGAUUAAGCCAUGCAUGUCUAAGUUCACACUCGUUUACGGUGAAACCGCGAAUGGCUCAUUAAAUCAGUCGAGGUUCCUUAGAUGACACGAUCCUACUUGGAUAACUGUGGCAAUUCUAGAGCUAAUACAUGCCUUUGAAGCUCCGACCCUUGCGGAAAGAGCGCUUUUAUUAGUUCAAAACCAAUCGUCGGUUCGUCGCUUGCGGCGUCCGGCGUCCCCUUUGGUGACUCUGGAUAACUUCGUGCUGAUCGCAUGGCCUUCGUGCCGGCGACACAUCUUUCAAAUGUCUGCCCUAUCAAAUGUCGAUGGUACGUGAUAUGCCUACCAUGUUUGUAACGGGUAACGGGGAAUCAGGGUUCGAUUCCGGAGAGGGAGCAUGAGAAACGGCUACCACAUCCAAGGAAGGCAGCAGGCGCGCAACUUACCCACUCCCGGCACGGGGAGGUAGUGACGAAAAAUAACAAUACGGGACUCUCUACGAGGCCCCGUAAUUGGAAUGAGUACACUUUAAACCCUUUAACGAGGAUCUAUUGGAGGGCAAGUCUGGUGCCAGCAGCCGCGGUAAUUCCAGCUCCAAUAGCGUAUAUUAAAGUUGUUGCAGUUAAAAAGCUCGUAGUUGGAUCUCAGGUGCAGGCGGAUGGUCCGGCUCGCGCCGGUUCACUGUCCGUAUUUCCUGCCCUACUGGUUUGCCGGCUCUCUCCCGUGGGUGCUCUUCACUGAGCGUCCCGGGUGGCCGGCGCGUUUACUUUGAAAAAAUUAGAGUGUUCAAAGCAGGCCUCGGCUGCCUGAAUAAUGGUGCAUGGAAUAAUGGAAUAGGACCUCGGUUCUAUUUUGUUGGUUUUCGGAACUGGAGGUAAUGAUUAACAGGGACAAACGGGGGCAUUCGUAUUGCGGCGUUAGAGGUGAAAUUCUUGGAUCGCCGCAAGACGAGCUACUGCGAAAGCAUUUGUCAAGAAUGUUUUCAUUAAUCAAGAACGAAAGUCA